Molecule: ribosomal RNA, 523 nt
Filed under: uncultured bacterium
Lineage: Bacteria
Description: partial 16S ribosomal RNA
Rfam family: Bacterial small subunit ribosomal RNA
Source: RNAcentral
GACGAACGCUGGCGGCAUGCCUAAUACAUGCAAGUCGAACGCUUCUUUCCUCCCGAGUGCUUGCACUCAAUUGGAAAGAGGAGUGGCGGACGGGUGAGUAACACGUGGGUAACCUACCCAUCAGAGGGGGAUAACACUUGAAACAGGUGCUAAUACCGCAUAACAGUUUAUGCCGCAUGGCAUAAGAGUGAAAGGCGCUUUCGGGUGUCGCUGAUGGAUGGACCCGCGGUGCAUUAGCUAGUUGGUGAGGUAACGGCUCACCAAGGCCACGAUGCAUAGCCGACCUGAGGGGGUGAUCGGCCACACUGGGACUGAGACACGGCCCAGACUCCUACGGGAGGCAGCAGUAGGGAAUCUUCGGCAAUGGACGGAAGUCUGACCGAGCAACGCCGCGUGAGUGAAGAAGGUUUUCGGAUCGUAAAACUCUGUUGUUAGAGAAGAACAAGGACGUUAGUAACUGAACGUCCCCUGACGGUAUCUAACCAGAAAGCCACGGCUAACUCCGUGCCAGCAGCCGCCGUAA